This 408-nucleotide ribosomal RNA is filed under the name uncultured bacterium. RNAcentral's name for it is "bacterial SSU rRNA". It matches the Rfam family "Bacterial small subunit ribosomal RNA", at positions 144 to 552 of the family's 1533-position model. The record is from RNAcentral.
UAGCCUUUAGAAAUGAAGAUUAAUACCCCAUGGUAUGUAUUAGUGGCAUCACUGAUACAUUAAAGGUUACGGCAAGAGAUGAGCAUGCGUCCUAUUAGCUAGUUGGUAUGGUAACGGCAUACCAAGGCGACGAUAGGUAGGGGCCCUGAGAGGGGGAUCCCCCACACUGGUACUGAGACACGGACCAGACUCCUACGGGAGGCAGCAGUGAGGAAUAUUGGACAAUGGGGGCAACCCUGAUCCAGCCAUGCCGCGUGCAGGAAGACUGCCCUAUGGGUUGUAAACUGCUUUUAUACAGGAAGAAACACUCCCACGUGUGGGAGCUUGACGGUACUGUAAGAAUAAGCAUCGGCUAACUCCGUGCCAGCAGCCGCGCUAAUACGGAGGAUGCAAGCGUUAUCCGGAAUC